AUUCAGAAGAGAUCAGUGGUGCUGGAGAGGAGGGGCUGCUAACACGCACAGCACAGAGUCGGCCCCAGCACCACGCUCCGCAGCAUCACCAGACAGGGACAGGAUUCACUUUCAGCAGGGGCAGGGUGUUUAGUUUAAUUCUGGAGACUCUGGGGAGGGUGUAAACAGCAGAGCCUGUGGCAGCUGCUGCUGCUGCUUGCUGCUGCUGCUGCUGCUGGAUUUCUGGUUGGAGAUAUCCUGAUGACAGAGAGUGGACUUGCCCCUAAGGAACCUGACACCCCUAAUGAGCAGGAAGUGGUCUAAAGAGACACGUUCACCCAGAACUGUGGAGUCUGUGUCCAUGGGAAGCCUACAGUCCAGCUCAUGGCAGCUUUCUCAUGCUGGUCAAAACAUGAGACCAGCCCCAGUGACUAUCUGUAACUGGCCCACCAACCCACAGACACCCGCUCAGCAUGAAACUGGACCAACUCCUGACGGGCUACCCAGCACUGAGUCACAGCAGCAUCCUGCUAACCCAAGGGAGCCACAGACUCCAACUACUGAAAAUAUAAGCCAAUCCCUAGAGGUCAGCAGUCAGCCCAGGAAGCCUGGAAGGACAGGCAGUAGGGCAGGAGAGAUGGAGGCAUGGUGGGGCACAGAAGUCUCAGGGGAGGGAAGGGGACAUUUACCAGGGUGGCAGAGGCCCCAAUCCAUGAGGAAGACUUGCAAGGCUGUGAGCAGUGGCCCUUGGUGUCAAGGUCAUUGUAGGAUAGCAAAUUGUGGAGACUUGUUUUUGGUGACCAGGAAUGCCCAAGCUUCGGGCCAGUCCUGACUUUCUCUCUAUUCAUGGUGAAGUUGUGCCAACGAGUUGUACCUUCCUUUGUUUUCCAGGUCUUUGGGGUUGCUACAGUCCCCCAGCGCCUUGGGUCACCCUGCACAUUCCCCUGAGUCUCAUGUGUUCAGGAAGUCGUCCUGGCAUCCGAAGUCUGUGGGGAGUCCGCUCCAGUUCUGCCAGUUUAAUUUUUUAUUUAACAUGAAAUAUUUGGGUUUGGGAUUCAAGGGUAACACUGAGGCAGAUAGUUCUUUUGGGGUAGGAAGUUGUUAGUGCCAUGGUCAUAUAGAAAAACAAACAAUGGCACGGAGCAGACCCUAACGAAAGUUCAGACCCAAGAAGCAGGCAGGGGGUGGGGGUGGGGGUGAGGAGUCCUUUUUAGGUCUCAGAGGAAAGGGGAAGGUUCUAAGACACAAGCCUGUAGCUAGCUGCCCCUGAUUCCUGGGCAGCAGGGAGGAGGGAAUCCCUGGGAAGGAGUGAAAAGGUGGAAGGGAUAUCUGGUGGAGAUGUAGACGGGUGACAGGGGGAUGUGCUGCCCUUUGAUAACCAGAGUCUGGCUGCCUGGUCUGUGGGCUUCUCUUCUCUCUCUCUCUCCCUCCCUCCCUCCCUCCCUCCCCCCCAGCUCUCCUCUCCUCCUCCUCUCCCCCUCUCCCCCUCUCCCCUUUUCCCCUUCCCUGUAGCAAUAGGAAUCCCAGAAUUGACUGAGGAUGGAGGCAGAGAGGGCUGCCCAUGUAGAUAGCUUGAGCAGCCUCUGGUCUGAUGUUCUAACAUAAGCCACGUGUACUAAGCCACUGUGAUUAAAUGCUAUCUUCGAUGGUGACAUCGAUGACCCUGAGACACUUUCACCUGCUCUGCAGUAGUGGGAGGCUGUAGUCUUGAAGGCGUGGUACCUGGUAUAGAAUACAGAGCAGGUUCCAGGAACUACAUACAGGAGAACAUCUGCCACAUGUAAACAGAGAGACCAUGAUGUUUGUGACAUCCCUGUACUGUCAUGGGUUUGGGGUCAUUGAUACCCAUCCGAAAUUAUGCUUAUAAACAGACAAAAACAAAGGUGCUGGCUUUUCCAUCUAAAUACACAGCUUCCCAGCAAAAGUCUUCCUUGGGGGCAUCAGGCUGCCAACUCCUGACAGCCUCGUCCUGGGCAUAACUGCCUGGAGAAGUGGGGCAGCCUCUUAGGAUGACCUCAGAUCUGAGGAGUGACAUCUGCCCAGCAUGUGUCCUUGCACCUGAGGUAGGAACAAGACAAAAACCUCAGUGCAAAAGUAAAAAUAGCAGACCACAGCAAUCCAGGGCACCCUGCGGGCACCGUGCGGGCUAUAAUUAUAGAAGUGGAGGAGGCGGUUCCUUCUGAAGCCUACUGGAGGGCCAGGGGGAGUAGGCUGGUGUGUGGGGGUGAUGAUGCAGAGGAGGGGAGGCCUGGCCUCAGAAUCUCCUGACUCCAAAGUGCCCAAGAGACAGGCUAGCAGAAGGCCACAGGAAGAAUGGACAGCAAGAACACAGGCUACAGCAAUUCUGCAAAGUGCUUAAGAACACUCGUCCUCUGACCCGCAAGGCACUGUCCAAGGUACAAAACCUGGGCUGUGUAAGGGAACAAAAUUGCAUUGGAUUUUUGGUAAAAAUAGCAAGAGUAAUUUUGUUCAGGCUCCGGCAGCAGGAGAGUGUGGUGUGGGCCUGAGAUCCACUCAAAUGCAGGAAAGUAGCAGGUGCCCAGAGUGAGAGCAGAGUGGGGGAGGGGAAGCUACCGAGGAAGGAGACCAAGGCAAUUCUCUUGCUAGCCUGCCCCUGCUAAAGGUGAGCUACUGUUUGGGAUGACUUGGGAUAGAUGUCAAAGACUGGCUGGAACCAGAAACCAAGGGUGGAGGAGUCACAGCAGGGCAUGAUCGUGAAUGGCCAAGGUGCGAGUCUAGCUCAGAAAAUAGCUCAAGUAGCUCGUUGGAGCCUGACUGGGUUAAGCCUUUCUAGGGUCACCUCCACCAUGGCCUGGCCCAGGGAUGAGGUAUUCUGCAACUACAGAUGAGGGAGCUAAUGGAAGGGGCAAGAAGCCUCUGCCAAGAUCCUGUCCCUAUGCAGUGCUGGUCCCUGGCUCUGCACCUGAGUCCUGGGUGAGCUUGGGUACCUUACUUUCUGUCUUAGUUACUUUUCUCACUGCUUUGAUGAGUCAGCCAAUAAGAACAACUUAAGAAAGGAACGGUUCAUUUUGGCUCAUCAUUUGAGGUUCAUCCGAGACAGUGGAGGUGUCCAAGUGUGGUCUGUUGCUAUGAAUUGCAAUGCUAAAUACUGGCCUCCAAGGUCUACUUACCACCAGUGGUGAGAAAAAUCACAUACACCAAAUGAUGCUACGUAACCUUGCUCUGUAAUUUAAAACUAUCGGUUGAAUAAAGAUGCCUACAACC
RNAcentral lists this long non-coding RNA (3204 nucleotides) under Mus pahari (shrew mouse). Its description in RNAcentral is "lncRNA (MGP_PahariEiJ_G0005426.1)". The record is from RNAcentral. Lineage: Eukaryota; Metazoa; Chordata; Mammalia; Rodentia; Muridae.